Molecule: ribosomal RNA, 305 nt
Filed under: uncultured bacterium
Lineage: Bacteria
Description: bacterial SSU rRNA
Rfam family: Bacterial small subunit ribosomal RNA
Source: RNAcentral
UGGCGCCUACGGGAGGCAGCAGUGGGGAAUAUUGCACAAUGGGCGAAAGCCUGAUGCAGCAACGCCGCGUGAAGGAAGAAGGGUUUCGGCUCGUAAACUUCUCUCAACAGGGACGAAAGAAAUGACGGUACCUGAAUAAGAAGCCCCGGCUAACUACGUGCCAGCAGCCGCGGUAAUACGUAGGGGGCAAGCGUUAUCCGGAAUUACUGUGUGUAAAGGGUGAGUAGGCGGCAUGGUAAGCCAGAUGAGAAAGCCUUGGGCUUAACCCGAGGAUUGCAUUUGGAACUAUCAAGCUAGAGUAAAGG